RNAcentral lists this unclassified non-coding RNA (245 nucleotides) under Galium pamiroalaicum. Its description in RNAcentral is "partial internal transcribed spacer 2". The record is from RNAcentral. Lineage: Eukaryota; Viridiplantae; Streptophyta; Magnoliopsida; Gentianales; Rubiaceae.
AUCUCGUCACCACCCCAACCCAAGUCUGCUUCGCGUAGGCUCGGGCUGGUGCGCGGUGGAUGUUGGCCUCCCGUUCCCGCAGCGGCGCGGAUGGCCCAAAUGCGAGUCCUCGGAUAAGGGACGUCACGACUACAGGUGGUUGAAUUCUCAUUCAUUCUAUCUCAUUAGCCUUGACGGCCCCCGACGGAUCUCAACAAAACCUAGAGCCCCAUCCCACUCACUUGUGAUUGGAGUGGAGCCUUCGA